This 26-nucleotide ribosomal RNA is filed under the name Trichocladium sp. B(2010). RNAcentral's name for it is "partial 28S ribosomal RNA". The record is from RNAcentral. Lineage: Eukaryota; Fungi; Ascomycota; Sordariomycetes; Sordariales; Chaetomiaceae.
UCGGAUCAGGGAGAAGGCCAUCUAUC